Non-coding RNA from Microcebus murinus (gray mouse lemur), 1044 nucleotides. NCBI's taxonomy places the organism in Eukaryota, Metazoa, Chordata, Mammalia, Primates, Cheirogaleidae. The record is from RefSeq and is a predicted model, not a curated record.
CCUAGUUUCCACUCUUCCAGCUCUGUGGCCGUAGGCAGUGGCCCCAAUUCCUUUGCUUGAGUAGAAUGAGCAGAAAGAGUAUCAUGGCAGCACUUUCGUUGGGAGGCUUGUACAAAGUGAUAGCUCAUGAAGCACCUCAAAUGUGGCAGGUAUAUUUUAUCAAUCCUUUUGUCACUCCAAGGAGACUUCAGAAAAAUGGUUGGCCUCUAAUGGCCUUUGCUCUGCAAUUGUUCCUAGUAGGAUGGACUGCCUACAGGGGUGUCACAACAAACCUAUGCCUUGCUAUUGUUUAUCCUCUCUGCAGACGAGGGACUCAGUGAGGGCACAGUUUUCUAGACUGGGAACAUGCUUGCAGAGAGGGAUUUGUCAUCAGGCAGAGCCAGAGGGGAAGUUCAGAGAAAGACGAGCUGUUGUUCUCAUGAGUCAGGGGCCUUCAGCUCCAGGCCAGCAGCCAGCCUGGCCCUGGCAGCUCCUGCUGCCCACCUGGCAUGGCCAGAGGCCUGAAGGUGCUCAGCGCGCUUAGUCAUCCCAGGUACAUUUCUUCCCAGCCUUCCAUGUACACGUUUGAUGGUCUUGCCUAGUUACCGUGGACAGAACGGCCCCACGUCCCUGACAGCACUCACUCCCCUGCACCAGCCUUCCGAAGGCGGCAGUAUUACCUCUUUGACUUCGCACAAAGCGAAGCUCCCAGAGGUCGACAAGCUGAGACUACACGCGGUGAGAAGAUGGCAGAGAAGGUCUUCAGCUUGACCCUGACUGCAGAGCCGAAGUCCUGCACGCACGCUUGACAGGACAGGAGGGCGAGGCAUGAGUUAAGUCACUUGUGCUGCAAUGUGGUACAAUGGGGACCUCAGGGGACAGACAGGGAUGACCGCUGACACCUGCCCUCUGAAAACUGACUGGCAGCCAGGCUCCAGGAUGGGAGAAAAGGAAUCAGCCCAACAGAAGAACACUUUUUUACUGAUUGAAAGCUAUGAAUUCCAAAUUAAUGAAGUUAACGAAAGGAUUGCCUGGGUGAGCGUGAGCACGCUGAAGGCCCACUGC